This is a non-coding RNA of Zootermopsis nevadensis, 427 nucleotides long. The record is from RefSeq and is a predicted model, not a curated record. Lineage: Eukaryota; Metazoa; Arthropoda; Insecta; Blattodea; Termopsidae.
ACUCUGAAGUGUUUUAUUAUGGGUAUGCAGGCUAGCAGAUGCAAAACACAUUUUGGAGGACACUCUGAGGCGCUGGCCAGAAAAUGGGUUUGCUCAGGUUCACUAUGGCUUUAUCCUCAAGACUAGCGACAACAAUAAUGAGGCUGCAGUAGAUUACUUGACGCAGGGCAUUGCUACAAGGGAACCAGGCACCCUUGAUGGACGUUUCUUCUUCCAUUUAGGUGAUGCCCUCACGAGACUUGGCCGUCAUGAAGAGGCUGGCAAGAUUUAUGACCUGGGAGUGAGGGAGGGGCUGUUCCUGUCAAAGUAUCAACGUUCCUUGUAUAAUGUCAAUAGACUCCGAGCACAACCGUGGUGGACACCAGAGGAGACAACUUACUCGAAAUAUUUCAAUAUAAUCGUUCGAUUCCCGACGGGGGCAGAGGAU